GUUUCCGUAGGUGAACCUGCGGAAGGAUCAUUACCGAGUGAGGGCCCUCUGGGUCCAACCUCCCACCCGUGUUUAUUUUACCUUGUUGCUUCGGCGGGCCCGCCUUAACUGGCCGCCGGGGGGCUUACGCCCCCGGGCCCGCGCCCGCCGAAGACACCCUCGAACUCUGUCUGAAGAUUGAAGUCUGAGUGAAAAUAUAAAUUAUUUAAAACUUUCAACAACGGAUCUCUUGGUUCCGGCAUCGAUGAAGAACGCAGCGAAAUGCGAUACGUAAUGUGAAUUGCAAAUUCAGUGAAUCAUCGAGUCUUUGAACGCACAUUGCGCCCCCUGGUAUUCCGGGGGGCAUGCCUGUCCGAGCGUCAUUGCUGCCCUCAAGCCCGGCUUGUGUGUUGGGCCCCGUCCCCCGAUCUCCGGGGGACGGGCCCGAAAGGCAGCGGCGGCACCGCGUCCGGUCCUCGAGCGUAUGGGGCUUUGUCACCCGCUCUGUAGGCCCGGCCGGCGCUUGCCGAUCAACCCAAAUUUUUAUCCAGGUUGACCUCGGAUCAGGUAGGGAUACCCGCUGAACUUAAG
RNAcentral lists this ribosomal RNA (570 nucleotides) under Penicillium crustosum. RNAcentral's name for it is "eukaryotic LSU rRNA". The stretch from base 210 to 362 matches the Rfam family "5.8S ribosomal RNA". The record is from RNAcentral. Lineage: Eukaryota; Fungi; Ascomycota; Eurotiomycetes; Eurotiales; Aspergillaceae.